Molecule: ribosomal RNA, 351 nt
Filed under: uncultured Streptococcus sp.
Lineage: Bacteria; Bacillati; Bacillota; Bacilli; Lactobacillales; Streptococcaceae
Description: bacterial SSU rRNA
Rfam family: Bacterial small subunit ribosomal RNA
Source: RNAcentral
CAUCGGUGACAGGUGGUGCAUGGUUGUCGUCAGCUCGUGUCGUGAGAUGGUUGGGUUAAGUCCCGCAACGAGCGCAACCCCUAUUGUUAGUUGCCAUCAUUCAGUUGGGCACUCUAGCGAGACUGCCGUAUAACCGGAGAAGUGGGGAUGACGUCAAAUCAUCAUGCCCCUUAUGACCUGGGCUACACACGUGCUACAAUGGUUGGUACAACGAGUUGCGAGUCGGUGACGGCGAGCUAAUCUCUUAAAGCCAAUCUCAGUUCGGAUUGUAGGCUGCAACUCGCCUACAUGAAGUCGGAAUCGCUAGUAAUCGCGGAUCAGCACGCCGCGGUGAAUACGUUCCCGGGCCUU